Long non-coding RNA from Mauremys reevesii (Reeves's turtle), 1353 nucleotides. RefSeq lists it as uncharacterized. Lineage: Eukaryota; Metazoa; Chordata; Testudines; Geoemydidae. The record is from RefSeq and is a predicted model, not a curated record. The transcript is spliced from 6 exons.
CCCAUUGCAUCAUAAACAUAUUUUUCAUUGAGCAUGCGUUAAUAUAGUAUGGCCCAGAUCCUCUGCUGCCCAAAGGUCAGCUUGGUGCAGCAGAGAAGCAGAUAUGGCCUCCUGGCUCUCAGACCAGAUUCUUGCUGAGGGCUUCUCUAACCUACCCCAGUUAGCACUGGUCUCCAAGAGAACAUAUACCAGCUGGGGAUUGCCAGGGCACAUGAUCUACCAGCCCCCUCAACACACCCUACCCACAACAUGCAAGAAGGAAGAGGAUGUCACAAAAGCGGAGUAUGCCAGUUGAGAUCACAUGGGAUCCUGAGUGAGAAGAGAGGAGUCCACAAGGGAAUCCCUCUACUAAGAUUUGGUCAACACUAUUAAACAAAGUAAAUGUGUUCAAUGGAAUUCUUACAAUUCACUGGGACAAAAAGUCUUCCAAGAUGCCUCCAUGAUUAGAGGGAGAAUUCUAAAAGGCUGUGUUUUAAGGAUCAGUGAUGUAAAAUGACACAGAAUUCUCCAGUGAUGUCACGGUAGCACUUUGUGUGAAAUGGAGACUGGAAAAAAAGAUUUUUGCUCUUAGAUGCAUCUUCUGAACCAGAACCAUUCUUCUGUACUCAAGCACAGCAGUGGAUGCAAUGAUGUUGAGCAUAGUUGCACUACAUUUUGGAAUGGGCUGAUUUGUCUUAGGCUAUUACUGUCUAUUACUGCUGGAAGUCUCGGGGAAAGGUGGGAAGCGGCGAAUUCUGGCUAUCUGCCUAAAGAGAAAUCAAUGAAACAAAUUAAUCCUUCGCAGGCUGCAAUGACACAGUAAUCCAUCAUUCAGAGCUGCUUUUAUACACCAAAUCAGAGAGCAGAGGAAAGAGCCCAGGGGGACAUCACAGACAACAACUUACACCAACACUGGGAAAAUACUAAGGAAUCCGUUUAUUUAAAGAGGAUAGAUUUCAGUUGAUUGCCUAUUUCAUCCUAUAAAGAUUUUUCUUCCACCCUGUUGUGAACCCUGAAUGGCUAUAUCUUCUGAACACUCGGCUCUCUGGAAGUUGGCUUCCAUCAAUUGACUGUGAAUAGGGUUUGAAUAAUUAGUACUUUAACCACGAUGGGCAGGUAGCGGAAAAAGUUACAUAUUCAGUUCGGUUUCCAGCCGUUUGCAGCUCCAGUCUGCUCCCCCUGUAAUCGGUACCUCACGGAGAUCAGGGAAUGCAGGAUCAGGCCCUACUGCAUUUUCUGCUUUCAGCAGGAAUGUGCCCAGGCUACAUGGGAUCCACCUUUCGAACUCAAUUUGGCUGCUGACGGAUUUAAGAUGUAACUCUUAAAAGGGGGUCUCGUCUCUUCUCUCCCCGCAGCUGCAAUCUCCAUCCACUU